This is a non-coding RNA of Pantherophis guttatus, 2190 nucleotides long. The record is from RefSeq and is a predicted model, not a curated record. NCBI's taxonomy places the organism in Eukaryota, Metazoa, Chordata, Lepidosauria, Squamata, Colubridae.
AGUUAUGCUUUCAUAUAUGACAAUGAGAAUAUUGUGUCUCGUUUCUAGAAUUAGUGUAGGGAUGUAAUCAUCUGCUGGGGAAAUUGUGGUUCUCGGGGAAAGCAAGUCUUUUCCCCCUUUGGGCAGUGGUUUAGCUUCCUUCAUGCACAUCCUGUUACAUAAUUCCAGUCCUGUGAAUCAACAUUCUUGCUAGUGAUGUCUAUAUGUGGAGAGAAAAGUAUAUUUCCCAAUGUUUAUUGCUCGUAACAAGGAACUUUAACCGAGCCCAGACAAUCAGCACGUAAAAGAUUAUUUAUUUAUUAUUUAUUUGUUUUUGCAGGUAUCGGAAGAAGAAAAAAAUGGUGAUCGAAUUAGAAGCAGGAAAUACCUUAACGAAUGCCAAGAAACCCAACACUUCGGACCUCGCUCCUCAGGAUGUGAAUGGCGUCCCUCCCAAACCAAGAACCACCCAUGAAUCCAUGGAUGGAGAUCCCGGAGACCCUGAAGAAAUCCAUUAUGCGACUCUUUCCUUCAAAGCGCCAAAUCCUCAGCCAGAUAUAACUGCAGAAGAAGUCCAGACGGAUUAUGCUGAAAUCAGACCUUGCAAUUUGCAGGGGAAAGAAGCAUGAAGGUUUUAAGGGAAUUCCUCUUUUUCUGGAUUAGCAGCCGAGUCCUGGGAAGUUGCCAGCUCCUGUUUAGACUCCAGCACCUUCUCUUGACUCUCUUUCUGUAUCCUCUUUGGAGAGAGGAACUGCCUAUCCAGCGGUUAAGCCCCGAAACAGCACAGCAGGACCAGGGAAGCAAAACUUCCAAACUUGGAAUUUCAUCAAGCAAGUUUAAUAUCAAGAAAUAAAGGGCUGAGAUAAUGACUCUAGUAAAACUGAAUGCAUAAAACUGAAUGCAUAAAACUAUUCCGCAUUUAUGAAUGGGGUCCUUGAGAGUUUCUUAGAUCCUUCCCCGCUCCCCAACAAUGCAAAAUUGAAAGGUUAAAUGCUCCCCCCCACCAGAGUGUCAGGUUUCGAUGUCAUCUCAAAUAAAUUGCACUCCCAAACAAUUAAUCUUUGCUGAAAUAUUCCAUUUAUUGAGUACGACAGAUCUGGCCCCGACUUUGUCGUAGCUGAUACUAACCCUCUGACCCCCAAACCCUUCCCUUUCCAUUCCCCAAUUCUCAUCUUCUCAUUGGCCAUCUUCCAAAUCAGUCUCCCCAGUUUCUGACCUCAAUCCACAGGAAUGUCCCCCUCCCAUCCCAUCUCCUAGGGGAUAUUAUCUACAGAGAAAAUAAGUAGGUGAAAAGUCAAGCCUCGUCUCCUCCUUUUUAUGGCAGCAUCAGAAUGCUGACACAGAGUAUCUUGGCGCUCAGAUACUCAUCUGCUCAUUGUUUCUGAUGUUUGAAAUACGCCCCCUCCUUCUGGGCCAGUGGUGGGUUGCUACCGGUAUGCAGUAGUUUGCACGAACUGGUAGCACUGACGAUCAUCUGGUAGCGAACCGGUUCCUCCUAACGUUCAGAUUAGCCCACCUGCCUGCCUGGGCUCCUUUUUUACCUUUAUCUUCUCAGCUGAUUAGCACGGUAGAGUGGAUUGCUGCACGAAUCAGCUGUGCUCUCCCCAGUAAAAACGCGGAAGUGCAAAGUUUUUGCAAACUGCACCCGUGCAAAGCACGAAGCGCGCAAUCAGUGAACUGGUAGUAAAACCGGGAGGAACCCACCACUGUUCCAGGCUUCAGUGCCGUUCUCUUAUUAAAGUGCUUCAAUCCAGCAGUUUCACAUGAGAUUACCCACUUGAGAAUCAGGGGCCUUCUAUCCACUUUAAAGCGGCCAAGUGUUCCCAGGAAGAGAUGCAGCUGCUUUAAAGAGCUACGUUCCCAUUUCUGUGCCCUCUGAAGCCCCUUUUAAAGACUGAAUUCAGCCUUAAAGGAAAAAAUAGGUAAAAGAUGCUUCGAACUGCACCGAGGUGGACUGCAGCACUGCAGGCUACUUCAGCUGACUGCUAGCUGCAAUACGGCAGUUCAAAUCUCACCGGCUCAAGGUUGAUUCAGCCUUCCAUCCUUCCGAGGUGCGUAGCAUGAGGACCCAGAUUGUUGGGGGCCAUAGGCUGACUCUGUAAACCACUUAGAGAGGGCUGUAAAAAGCACUAUGAAGUGGUAUUUAAGUGCUAUUGUUAUUGUUAUAUAAAUUUAAUAAAUAAAGAAAUCAUACCAACGAUGCCUAUUGAA